ACUAUUCAACUUUCUUGCCUCCAUCACACACUAAAACAUGGCUGCAGGUACAACUAGACAAUGCAUUGGCCUUUUCAUGGACAUUGAGCCCAUGAAACUUUCUUUCUCUUCCCCAACUGCAAUUGCAAGACAAUCAAUCCAUCUCCCCAAUCAUAAAUAUCAAGAACUCGGCUCCUUGUCCAUGAACGGCUGCGGCGGUGAUCCCCGAGCCCCGCUCGGCGUCCUCGAGACCCGGACGCUCGGGGCAGCGCCCACAGCGGCUGUGGCGGCCGACCGCCUCAAUUCCACCGUGUAUGACCUCAAGACGAACUCCCCGACGUCGGAUUCCGGGAUUAUUAGGCUUGAGGUGCCGAUCCUGCAGCAGAUAAAUGCCCUUCAAUGGCUGCAAUGCCAGACCAACACUCUUCUUCCUCGCUGUUACUUUUCCGGCAGAGAUUCCGCCGACAUUGAUCAUUCUCACCCCAAGCUGCUCAGUGUUGCCGGCCUCGGCUCUGCGGUCUCCUUCCGCCGUCUCCGCCCCUUCUCCUUAGACGAUUGGCAUUCCAUCAAAAGGUUCUUGUUCAAAAAGUGUCCGUUGAUUCGUGCUUAUGGCGCAAUCCGAUUUGAUGCAAGGUCUAAUAUUGCUCCCGAGUGGGAGGGUUUUGGUUCUUUCUACUUCAUGGUCCCUCAGGUUGAGUUUAAUGAGUUUGAAGGGAGUUCAAUGCUCGCAGCAACUAUUGCAUGGGACAAUCGCCUGUCAAGGACCUACAGAGAAGCUAUUGCUGCACUUGAAGAUACCAUGUGGCAGGUUUCAUCACUUGUCCAACGAUUAAAUGGAACCUCUCACUGUGCUGUUGCGGUCCACCAUACUCAUGUUCCCAGUAAAGCUUCAUGGGAUUCAGCUGUUAAGCAAGCUCUGGACAAGAUACGUAGGAAAAAUUCAUCACUUGUUAAGGUUGUCCUUGCACGUAGCAGCAGAGUACUAACCACAGUAGAGAUUGACCCUUUGGAGUGGCUGACAACCUUACAGGUAGAAGGGGCCAAUAAUGCUUAUCAGUUCUGUCUUCAGCCUCCUGAAUCACCAGCAUUCAUUGGAAACACUCCAGAGAGACUUUUCUAUCGAAACCAGCUUAGUAUCUUCAGCGAGGCUUUGGCUGGAACACGAGCUAGAGGUGGAACUGAGUCUCUAGAUUUACAGAUAGGACAAGAUUUACUUUCCAGUGCCAAAGACCACCAUGAGUUCUGUGUAGUAAGAGAAAGUAUAAGAAGAAAGCUAGAGGAUAUUUGUUCCAGCACAGUUGUUAAGCCUAGCAAGGUUCUACGUAAACUUCCACGUGUUCAACAUCUUUAUGCUAAACUGACCGGCACACUGCAGAAAGAAGAUGACGAGUUUAAGAUUUUGUCUUCUCUGCAUCCAACUCCUGCUGUUUGUGGGCUUCCGACAGAGGAGGCGCGUAUAUUGAUAUCAAAAACUGAAAAGUUUGAUCGAGGAAUGUAUGCUGGACCUGUUGGGUGGUUUGGUGGUGCAGAGAGUGAGUUUGCUGUGGGGAUAAGGUCAGCAUUGGUUGAAAAGGGAUCUGGCGCAAUACUCUAUGCUGGAACCGGGAUAGUAGAAGGGAGCAAUUCUUCCCUAGAAUGGCAAGAACUGGAUCUGAAGAUAUCACAGUUCACCAAAUUGAUGGGGUGCGAUACACCUCGUGUCAAUGAGGGAGAAAAUUGAACUCUAACUUCAAAAGGUCAGUGGUUCUGAACAACUCAUCCACACUCACUAUGGACUAGUUAUACAUCAAGUUGCUAUCAUUCAGUCGUUAUAUAUAUUACCCGGUCAUCAGUUUCAUCUGUCCGACUUCGUUCUGAAUGAAUGCUUUUCGUUCUCCACAACAUUUUUGGUGACAGAAAGCAAAAGAAAAAAAAGAUAUGAGGGAGGACCAUAUUGGUCCCUUCAAUGGUAAAUAGGUUGUCAAAUAUGUCCUCCAUUUUUUCUGUAUAUAGCUGGUUAGGGAUCAGCCAUUAUUUUAUCACACUGUAUACACACACAUAUAUAUAUAUAUAGAGAGAGAGACGGACAUAUUUCUUGAGAUUGAAUGUAUGUAGCAGCAACAGAAUACAUUGUAAAUCAAACCUUUUCCUGUUUCUGUGUUUUACUUGAAACUGAUUGGGAAAUAUCCUGUUUCUUGUCUGCAAAACUGUAAUAUCUUCUCUUGCUGACAUACCUUUCUUUUCAAUCUCGAUUUUGGUCUGAUAAUAUCAGGGGACUUCUUCAAAUCUUGGGGUUAGGAUCUUGAGAUUGUUUGAUAAAUGCCAUAACUUCAUCUUCACUUCUCUUCUAUCUAUGCCAUCUUCGUGCCCAGUUGAGUUCAUCGAUGCGUUCUCAGCUGCAUACAGGGGAAAAUAAUCACUAAUAAUCAUAUAUACAUUUUCUUUCUUUCUUUUUGUAUAUAAGAUCAUGUAAAAUAUCAUAUAAGAGAACUUCCCCAAUAUUAAUAUAGAUAUAUACCUCUGUUUAUACAAAAAUACACCUUUAAAUAUUUGUCUAUAUUUCCUACUGUGUUACUUUAGUUAGUUUUUUACCUUCACUCAAUUACAUUUUAAACAAAAUUAUAAUAUAAAUAUAAAAUGGUGGUUUCGUUUUCAGCGCUUUUUGAUUUUCAAUAAUUCUCAAUGUAUUAAAUUAGAAAGCCAAGCAAAGAAUAAGGCUCUGUUUUUCUCUUGGCCAAAACCAAACAAGGAAAGUUAGGAACAGAUACAUAUUGUAUUUGUAAAGUAAAGCUUAUUAUUUAUUCUCCUUUAUAAGCUUCUGCUAUUCAUCAAACAUCAUUUUCAAUUUCAUUGCAAAAUUUUGCCAAAAUAUCAUAAAUGGAGCCAAGAAAUAUGAAAUUUGAGUAUGUUUUGCCUUCCUCUUGGUGGGCUGAGACUGCUGAUUCCUAUUGUUUGCUCAUUGAAAUUCCAGGAUUCAAGGAGGAAGUGAGGAUUCGAGCCGAUGACCACGGUCACGUCAUCAUGAGCGGAGAAAGGCAGGCCAACGAAAGCACCAUCCUACACUUCAAGCAGGCAUAUAAGGUACCCGAAGAUUGCAACAUACAAGAAACCAAUGCCAUCUUAGAGGACAACACCUACUACGUCAAAAUUGCCAAGAAACUCAACAACCUCAGUUCACGAAGACCGUCAUGCUCAAGAGAGCAGCACGUCUAAUGGAACCGCGAAGAAAUAGCCAAGGGAGAGAGGCCGGACACCAGUUUCCUGCAGAAACGAUCAAAGAUGGUGAAGACGAAGAGAUGCUUUGUUUUGACAUCUUUACUAGCAUUUUCACUAGGAGUUCUUGUAUCUCACCGUUACCGGUCCCACUACACCGGUUAUAAUCGAAACAUCUCAACAAAGACUGUUUUACACAUACGAUAUAGCCAUUAUUUAGUUAUGUUCUUGAAAA
Salvia splendens (bonfire salvia) is the source of this 3406-nucleotide RNA transcript. It is a transcript of the gene named isochorismate synthase, chloroplastic-like, with no coding region annotated. The transcript has 16 exons. NCBI's taxonomy places the organism in Eukaryota, Viridiplantae, Streptophyta, Magnoliopsida, Lamiales, Lamiaceae. The record is from RefSeq and is a predicted model, not a curated record.